RNAcentral lists this ribosomal RNA (292 nucleotides) under uncultured bacterium. RNAcentral describes it as "partial 16S ribosomal RNA". It matches the Rfam family "Bacterial small subunit ribosomal RNA", at positions 505 to 796 of the family's 1533-position model. The record is from RNAcentral.
GUGCCAGCAGCCGCGGUAAUACGGGGGGAGCAAGCGUUGUUCGGAUUUACUGGGCGUAAAGGGCGCGUAGGCGGAUGUUUAAGUCAGAGGUGAAAGCCCAGGGCUCAACCUUGGAACUGCCUUUGAUACUGGGCAUCUUGAGUAUGGGAGAGGUGAGUGGAACUCCGAGUGUAGAGGUGAAAUUCGUAGAUAUUCGGAAGAACACCAGUGGCGAAGGCGACUCACUGGCCCAUUACUGACGCUGAGGCGCGAAAGCGUGGGGAGCAAACAGGAUUAGAUACCCGUGUAGUCC